AUUGAACGCUGGCGGCAUGCCUUACACAUGCAAGUCGAACGGCAGCACAGGUGCUUGCACCUGGUGGCGAGUGGCGAACGGGUGAGUAAUAUAUCGGAACGUACCUUAUUGUGGGGGAUAACGCAGCGAAAGCUGUGCUAAUACCGCAUAAUCCCUAAGGGGGAAAGCGGGGGACCGUAAGGCCUCGCGCAAUUAGAGCGGCCGAUACCUGAUUAGCUAGUUGGUGAGGUAAAGGCUCACCAAGGCAACGAUCAGUAGCUGGUCUGAGAGGACGAUCAGCCACACUGGGACUGAGAAACGGCCCAGACUCCUACGGGAGGCAGCAGUGGGGAAUUUUGGACAAUGGGGGCAACCCUAAUCCAGCAAUGCCGCGUGAGUGAAGGAGGCCUUCGGGUUGUAAAGCUCUUUUGUCAGGGAAGAAACAGCAGCUCUAACACAGUUUGCGAAUGACGGUACCUGAAGAAUAAGCACCGGCUAACUACGUGCCAGCAGCCGCCGCCG
This 501-nucleotide ribosomal RNA is filed under the name uncultured bacterium. RNAcentral's name for it is "partial 16S ribosomal RNA". It matches the Rfam family "Bacterial small subunit ribosomal RNA", at positions 30 to 523 of the family's 1533-position model. The record is from RNAcentral.